GACCUCUGAACGUCAGGGUCGCACGUUGUGGAGGGGGCGGGGAGUAGCUGAAACCUGUACGUAGCUGGAAGGUUUUCUCCGGCUGCCAGAACAGGAAGGAACCUCAAUGGGGCUAUUGCAGUUUCUUCCUACGUUGUCGUGGCAGGGUCUGGUGCCAAGAUAGAACCCACGAGUAACACGAGGAGCCCUCUACCCAGCCGUACUAUCAUAUUUUCUUGGUGUUUCUCUUAGAGCUGUUGAUUCCACAGGUUUGUGUCUUGAUACCUUGAUGUGAAAUGUCAACAAGAAUUCUGGUCUUUGUUCCUGCAACAAAAACUUAGAGAAGAAUUAUCAGCGAGAAUGGCCGUAUCUCCAGUGAAUGGACCCCAGGGGCACCAGGAUAUGUGCAUACUGACUACCCAAAGUACUGGAUUCAUCCUUGGUGGAUAGACCAGCAAGGAACCUGAAGAUGUCCAGGUCUUUAGACUUCUUGAAGAUGAGUAUUUCUAAUUUCCUGCAAAGACAAAAACAGAAUCCUGCCUGACCCU
Long non-coding RNA from Onychomys torridus (southern grasshopper mouse), 527 nucleotides. RefSeq lists it as uncharacterized. The transcript is spliced from 5 exons. Lineage: Eukaryota; Metazoa; Chordata; Mammalia; Rodentia; Cricetidae. The record is from RefSeq and is a predicted model, not a curated record.